GUCCGAGUGCGACUGUGAUGUU
Molecule: microRNA, 22 nt
Filed under: Gyrodactylus salaris (gyrodactylosis fluke)
Lineage: Eukaryota; Metazoa; Platyhelminthes; Monogenea; Gyrodactylidea; Gyrodactylidae
Description: gsa-miR-2a-5p
Gene: gsa-miR-2a-5p
Source: miRBase by way of RNAcentral